UACGGAGGGGACUAGCGUUGUUCGGAAUUACUGGGCGUAAAGCGCACGUAGGCGUAUUUGUUAGUCAGGGGUGAAAUCCCGAGGCUCAACCUCGGAACUGCCUUUGAUACUGCAAAUCUCGAGUCCGGAAGAGGUGAGUGGUAUUCCUAGUGUAGAGGUGAAAUUCGUAGAUAUUAGGAAGAACACCAGUGGCGAAGGCGGCUCACUGGUCCGGUACUGACGCUGAGGUGCGAAAGCGUGGGGAGCAAACAGG
RNAcentral lists this ribosomal RNA (253 nucleotides) under uncultured bacterium. RNAcentral describes it as "partial 16S ribosomal RNA". It matches the Rfam family "Bacterial small subunit ribosomal RNA", at positions 524 to 776 of the family's 1533-position model. The record is from RNAcentral.